CCCAACCAAAAAUCCCACAGGAGGAGAAACUGAACUUCAUAUUGCAUUAUUGAAGCAUGAAGGGGUCUUUUAGCCAUACAACACUGAUUUGGAUCAAUUCAUGAAUUGUCUAAGCAAGAAACAAAUUAGAUCUGUACAAAAUAAGAAUAAGAUCACCAGUCUCGUGAUGCAUUUUCAUUCCACUAAUUUUUCCAUGAUCGGUAUAGCAUUUCUUUUUCUAUGAAAUUCUUUACUUCUCUUUACAGUGUAACUUCACAGCUAAUCCUGUUGCCAUAUCAGAAUGCGUAUGCAGGGGCAGAUGUUUCUAACCAAGCUUGAGGAUGAUGCUCCCUGUGUUCCUUGCAACCCCUUCUCCAUGCAAGUCAAAACCUGAAUCUGUAUGCAUAAAGCUUACAGUCAUGGGAAGUCCCAAGAAUUUGACAAACUAACUUGAUUAUUGCAGAAAAAAAUGUUAACGACCAAAAAGUUCAGUACUUGUAUUCAAAUUUGCAAUUAUAACCAAUUCUUUUAAUUGUCAAAUCAAUUACACACACAACCUUUUCGCAUUAGUGUCAAUUGUAGCUAGAUUUAUAAGUGGCAUAACUUACAAAUUGUCAACCUAGCAUAUGUUGUCAAUAAAAAUUUCACAUAAACAUAUUUAAGAAAAGGGGCAGAGAGAAAAAACAUGGUGAAAAAUUCAUAUUUUUCUUCUUGUUUUAAGUGGUAAAUAAUACUUAAAAUAAUUUUUAAAAUAUAAUUAAUCAUUUUUUGCUAGGUCUUACAUUUAAAUAUACCAUAUCAAAUGCUAGUUGCUUACAUAAAAAGUUCUCCAAAUAAAAUAUAUAUCACGAAUUUGAGAGUUUCAGCAUCAACUCGUUUAAAUUUAGCUACAAUUGACACCAAUUUGAAAGGCUAAGAGUAUAAAUGAUAAAACCAACAACAAUAGUCAUAACUGCAAAUCUAUUUUUUUUUCUGAUCAAUAAUUUCAACAGCACUGUAUAACUAGAGGAUAAAUGAUGUUAUGUAUAAAGGCCUAGAGGCAACAAUCUUUCCAUUUUUCAUAAUGGGAAGACAGCUUUCAGUUAUUUGUACUUGCAAAAGCAGUACACAAAUGAGAUGGACGUGCUCACCUCUUAAACGUUAGUAAAAACCUCACACCUUCAAGGAUCUUGUCCAGAAGAAUCCCUUCUUUUUGGUUGUGUUGUUCUCUGCUGCUAAGGAUUUACUUACCUUCGAUCCAAGCGAAAAAUGCCUCUUCAAGAAAGGCUUUGCUAAGGAGCCCUUCAUGCUGGAACUGGUGGCCAUCUUGGGAUCCUUUCCUGCAUGCCCACUAACUUUCAGGCGAUCAAACAUAAUGGAAUCACCAUCAAAAUCACUGUCCACAACCCGGUUCCUUGACUUCUUGUUUUUUGCAUUCAACUCCAUUUCUGCUUUAAAAGCUUUUUGAGACAGCUUCUGUGUCUGCUUCUCCCCCAAAGUACAAACAGGGCAAGGAGGAUCAUACUUGCUAAUUUCAGGUGUCAUAGUCUCCAAACACUCAGCAUGAUAAACAUGCCCACAAGUUAGAACGGCAACCAUAGACAGCUCAUUACUUAAACCGAGCUUAUGGCUGCUCCACAAAGAUUUCUCAGCCAACAGCUUUGAGCAAAUCCCACAUGUUUGAAGAUCAACAGAGAGAGAAGAUGAUAUUUGACCACUGGAUCUAGUUUUCUCAUGAUUGAAGCUCAAGGAGUCAUCGUCAAAAGACCACCUUUCUCUAUGAGAAGUGGCCAUGAGCUCAGAAAAUGCGUGCAUAGACCAACCAUCUGAAGAGCCACCAUGGGAUCCCUGAGUUGAUUCGUUGCUCCAUGAGGGGACCGAGGACCUCUCUUCAGGAACUGAACAGCUGUUUGAUGACUUUAAUUCUGGGAUUUGUGUAUCAGGAACUUGCCCCAUUGACUGAUGGGGAGAAGAGUUCUCAGGCCAACUUGAAGUGGUUGAGCCAGCAGUAUGCGGAUUAAUUUGGGAUGAAAUUAGAGAUGUUAUGGAUGAAGUUGAAGGCAAUGAGAUGGAUAAUUUUGUGGGAGAUGGAUCCAAAGCUGCUGGGGAUUCUGUUGACUCCUUCACCUGUUCCAAACUUGUGUCCAUUGAGAUGUUCCUUAAUAUGGAUUGAUCUGAAGCAGAAGUCUUCACAGGUGCAGUCGUAGCUUCAGAUGACUUCUGCCUUGCACGCCUCCGAAAACUAUGUAAGGGGCUUCCAUCCUCUGAAGCAUAGGCUGAUUCACAUUUAAUAUCUGGUCCACCAUUCCCACGAUUUGCAUCUGAAAACCAAGGUAUGGAAGUCUCUUCCCCAGCUACUCGCCCUCUAUUAUCCCACCUAAAGCUCCAUGUUGGCGAACACCGAAUAUUCCUAUGCAAUAUUUCACUGCUUGUGCUUGGUCCAUUUACUAUAUUUUUGUCUCUAGCAGCAACACAACAAGCACCCCCCAUGCUAAAACACACAGUGCUGCAAAGUUCUGAUAGAAAUCCCAAAAUUUUCACUCACGUGUUCUGAUGUCCAAGCGAGUUCUGCACCAUCACUUCCAGGGGAGGAAAAAAAAAUCCAGUUGUGGUUGUCUUUCUGCAAUUAAAAAGGGGGGGUUUAAACAUAACCGUCAUUAUGAUGAUUACUAAUUUGAUAACCAGACACUACAAAUCACAUAAAAAAUCAACCAUGUAAAAGAAGCGCAGCUUGAAAAUUGAGGAAAACACUUACAACCCUUCAAAGGAUUAAGACCCAAUUCCUCUUAACCCUACACAAACUUUAAGUUUUGCUAUUUUAAGCCAAACGUGAAAAGAGCAAAAGGACUUGAUCCUCAUGCCUCAAAACACUAGCGAGAGCUGCAGUGACUCAAAAAAUGGUUUCUACUAGCCACACUAAAACACUCAACCCUCCAUAGCAAGUUCAAAUUGAAAAACAGAAUCAAAACACAAGCAAAAUCUUAUUCUCCAAAAAGGGGAAAAAAAAUACCCAAUUUUAAGAAGAAUAGGAGGGUUUCAUUUCUCAAGUUGAACAUCAAAUGGAGGACCAAAAAAAAAAUAAGUGAAGAAAAUUCAAAGUCAAGUUACUUCAUCUAAAGUCAAUAAUGAACAAACAGAGUUCACAAACCUCAACAAAGAUGUAAAACAGAUACAAAUUUUCUCUGAUUUCAACACUCACUUGUUCACACCAACCCCACCAAACCAAAACCACUUGAAAGGAAAAAAUUAAAAAAAAAAAAUCAG
This 3222-nucleotide unclassified non-coding RNA is filed under the name Hevea brasiliensis (rubber tree). The record is from RNAcentral. Lineage: Eukaryota; Viridiplantae; Streptophyta; Magnoliopsida; Malpighiales; Euphorbiaceae.